Manis pentadactyla (Chinese pangolin) is the source of this 1279-nucleotide long non-coding RNA. RefSeq lists it as uncharacterized. Lineage: Eukaryota; Metazoa; Chordata; Mammalia; Pholidota; Manidae. The record is from RefSeq and is a predicted model, not a curated record. The transcript has 6 exons.
GCCAGAUCCUGCCUGCCUUUGGCGGCUCUGAGUCUCAGGGCCAUCUGAGAACACCCGAGGUCCACAAUGCCUCACAGGUUGAGUGACUUCAGCCGUGCCAGGGACCUCAAAGCCAGAACAGCCUGGGCAUGUGGAGCUAACCUGCUUCUGGAGCUGGUGGAUUGAAGCUCUCAAGUGCAGACUGGCUGGUCGCUGGUUGGUGCUUAGACCCCUCUUGCCAGCUGGUCCCCAGAGAACCACCUCAUCCACCUCAUGGAAGGAAAAUCAAACAAAGGCGAUGGCAAAGCAGAACCCAACACCAGUGCCGACGCUGCGUGCACCCGGGACCCCUUGAGGAGCUGGACGGCUGCAGAGCAGCCUCCUGCAGGAAUCUGGCUGAUGGGCUCCGGCUGUGGCUGUGAGGCGUGUGGAAAUGGCCACCAAGCCACGGCCGUGUGGCUCAGCAGCUGCUCUCACCACUAAACAUGCCAGAGGUUCAGUCUAGUGGCGGCUGGCUUUGUCUACCAGGUUCAGAAACCCAGCAGAAAACACCAGAGGCCACAUCAGUGAAAAGUACCUGAUGUCACUGACAUCUCUGAGGGACGCAAGCCACACCUUUCUUGCAUCUGCCUGUAAAGUCAAGAACCUGAAACUGAAUAAACCCAGCAAAUGACGAAAAACACCCUGCUCCUGUUCCAACAGUGCAAGAGGAAGAAGGGGAGGUGGACAGGGGAGGGGCUGGGACAACUGCUGGGGACACAGCCCGUCUGGGGAUUGGCCCGCGGUGGCUCCUAAGGGACCCCAGGCCACACCCUUCAACCAACCUGCCCGGGUCGCUGCUCCUCCUGCCCUCACAGGCCUGUGCUGACCCGGCUUGGUGGUGCCUCUGCUGCUGGCUUGGCACCUGCUCAGCUGCUGGCACUUACGGAUGCCCCCCACUGCCCCAGCCUCACUCUGGGGUUCAGGCCCCGGAAGGCCGGUCUUGCCUCAUCCCACUAGGUCUCCGUUGUGUGGGUGAUGUGGAUCUUUUCCCACCGGGGUGCCCUGUGUGCCCGCUUCCCAGGGUCAACAGGAAAUACACCUCACCACUACAUGUUAUUUAUCCACUUACCACUUUCCCUUUUCUGGAACAAGAAAAAUUACAAGAACAGAAAACAGAGCAGUGGUUGCCAGGGAUGGAAGGAGGGGAGAAAGGUGUGCCCCGCAGGGAGUUUUAGGGUGGCGGACUUGUUCUGUGUGGCUCUACGGGGGAGGUCUGUGACCCAUACACUUGUGACACCUGUGGGACACUGUGAAGAGU